Molecule: long non-coding RNA, 297 nt
Organism: Lynx canadensis (Canada lynx)
Lineage: Eukaryota; Metazoa; Chordata; Mammalia; Carnivora; Felidae
Exons: 3
Source: RefSeq, a predicted model, not a curated record
CGCCUCUGCCAACCAGACUGUAAGAAGAGAGAGAUGGGAGAUUAGGGUGGGUCCUGGCCACCUCAUCAGGGGAGAGAGCAUCAGUGGAGUACGGCCCUUAGAGACCUGGACUUGUCUUGGUCCUGAUAAUCUUCAUCCUCCCAUAGGGGAGAAGAGACUAAGAAACUGAGGCCCAGAGAAUGAAGCAACAGUUAAAAGAGCGAAGCACUUAACAAACUUCAAGUCCGUAGGUGCCUUUUCUCCGGCUAUCAGACUGCGGCUUUCUACCUGAGGUCCCAAUGAGCACUUAAAAAAAAG